Molecule: non-coding RNA, 236 nt
Filed under: Rhizobium sp.
Lineage: Bacteria; Pseudomonadati; Pseudomonadota; Alphaproteobacteria; Hyphomicrobiales; Rhizobiaceae
Source: RNAcentral
UUUAGCCUUCAUGGUGACGGUUCCCCGAGGGAAGACUUCCGACGGGAUCAAAAGGGAACACGGUGCGGACGACCCUGACGGGACCAAGACCGUGGCUGCCCCCGCAACUGUAAGCGGAUUGUCGAUCGGCCCCUGUGGCGCCUUCGGGCGCCAUGCCACUGCGCGAAACGCGCGGGAAGGCAGGCCGGCGGCGCAUAUGCGCGAGCCAGGAGACCUGCCGUCCAGAUAUCAACCAA